GGGGUCGUCGGCUAGGCCUUUGGUCUAAUCAUGUGGACCAAGGGGGCUAGUCUGGUCUAGGCUUUCAGCCUUGGGCGCUGAAGACCCCCGGUUCAAAUCCGGGCGACCCCACCA
Molecule: transfer RNA, 114 nt
Filed under: archaeon
Lineage: Archaea
Description: tRNA-Pro
Rfam family: tRNA (bases 42-111)
About the family: Transfer RNA (tRNA) molecules are approximately 80 nucleotides in length. Their secondary structure includes four short double-helical elements and three loops (D, anti-codon, and T loops). Further hydrogen bonds mediate the characteristic L-shaped molecular structure. tRNAs have two regions of fundamental functional importance: the anti-codon, which is responsible for specific mRNA codon recognition, and the 3' end, to which the tRNAs corresponding amino acid is attached (by aminoacyl-tRNA synthetases). tRNAs cope with the degeneracy of the genetic code in two manners: having more than one tRNA (with a specific anti-codon) for a particular amino acid; and 'wobble' base-pairing, i.e. permitting non-standard base-pairing at the 3rd anti-codon position.
Source: RNAcentral